CAUUGGAAACUGGGGAACUUGAGUGCAGAAGAGGAGAGUGGAAUUCCACGUGUAGCGGUGAAAUGCGUAGAGAUGUGGAGGAACACCAGUGGCGAAGGCGACUCUCUGGUCUGUAACUGACGCUGAGGAGCGAAAGCGUGGGGAGCGAACAGGAUUAGAUACCCUGGUAGUCCACGCCGUAAACGAUGAGUGCUAAGUGUUAGGGGGUUUCCGCCCCUUAGUGCUGCAGCUAACGCAUUAAGCACUCCGCCUGGGGAGUACGGUCGCAAGACUGAAACUCAAAUAAAUUGACGGG
Molecule: ribosomal RNA, 295 nt
Filed under: uncultured Bacillus sp.
Lineage: Bacteria; Bacillati; Bacillota; Bacilli; Caryophanales; Bacillaceae
Description: partial 16S ribosomal RNA
Rfam family: Bacterial small subunit ribosomal RNA
Source: RNAcentral